AUCCUCCAAGGCUAAAUACUCCUGACUGACCGAUAGUGAACCAGUACCGUGAGGGAAAGGCGAAAAGAACCCCGGCGAGGGGAGUGAAAAAGAACCUGAAACCGUGUACGUACAAGCAGUGGGAGCCCCACCACUAAGCCAGUGGUGAACUCCACAUACGCAUCCUUUGCUGAGGAUACGGUUAACGGAGCGAAAGCGACGUUCAACCUCAAAAGAAGCAGAGGGGGCUUAGUGGUGGGGUGACUGCGUACCUUUUGUAUAAUGGGUCAGCGACUUAUAUUCUGUAGCAAGGUUAACCGUAUAGGGGAGCCGGAGGGAAACCGAGUCUUAAUUGGGCGUUAAGUUGCAGGGUAUAGACCCGAAACCCGGUGAUCUAGCCAUGGGCAGGUUGAAGGUUGGGUAACACUAACUGGAGGACCGAACCGACUAAUGUUGAAAAAUUAGCGGAUGACCUGUGGCUGGGGGUGAAAGGCCAAUCAAACCGGGAGAUAGCUGGUUCUCCCCGAAAGCUAUUUAGGUAGCGCCUCGUGAAUUCAUCUCCGGGGGUAGAGCACUGUUUCGGCUAGGGGGCCAUCCCGGCUUACCAACCCGAUGCAAACUGCGAAUACCGGAGAAUGUUAUCACGGGAGACACACGGCGGGUGCUAACGUCCGUCGUGAAGAGGGAAACAACCCAGACCGCCAGCUAAGGUCCCAAAGUCAUGGUUAAGUGGGAAACGAUGUGGGAAGGCCCAGACAGCCAGGAUGUUGGCUUAGAAGCAGCCAUCAUUUAAAGAAAGCGUAAUAGCUCACUCGUCGAGUCGGCCGGCGAGGAAGAUGUAACGGGGCUAAACCAUGCACCGAAGCUGCGGCAGCGA
Molecule: ribosomal RNA, 856 nt
Filed under: Salmonella enterica subsp. enterica
Lineage: Bacteria; Pseudomonadati; Pseudomonadota; Gammaproteobacteria; Enterobacterales; Enterobacteriaceae
Also listed under: 1 other name
Description: bacterial LSU rRNA
Rfam family: Bacterial large subunit ribosomal RNA
Source: RNAcentral